GUCCAGUUCAGGAUCUGCAUAGAUCACUUGUUGGUCAAAAGUUGUACUUAAGUUGCUCUAACUAGUUAGAUUUUACUCUUUACUUUUGGGUGUGUAUGCCUUAGAGACUCAAGGAGGCUUUUUUUUUUUUUUUUUUUUUUUUUUUUCACCUCUGUUUAGCCAAGGACUUGUAGCUUUCAGGUUUUGUCUCUGAUUACUCUUGGGAGGACUCAGCCUUGGACAUGCCCACAAUCUUCCACUUUUCCAGGUUCAGUUGGGAGAGAGUUCACCAGAGGCCUCACCAUCCUAUUUUAAUAUCCUUUUAUGUCACCUUGCUUUUUGGAGACUGUGUUCCAAGACAGAGAAGUUGCCGAUGGUGCAAGUUGCCUGGUAGGAAGAUGAGGUUCAAGAUCAGUGAGACAUUAAGGCCCUUCAGGAGGGUUAAAGAAAGAACAGCCAUAACCAUUACUUUCAUCUGUGACCUCUGACUAUAAUUCAGGUUGGUGAUCAUCUCCUUGGUCUUUUUUCUACAGUCACUUUGGUGCUCUGGGAGAUUGAUAUACUAUCAGAUGUUUGAGCUGAUAUGAGCAUCAGGUAACAUCUGUUCACUGUGAGGAGAC
RNAcentral lists this long non-coding RNA (599 nucleotides) under Fukomys damarensis (Damara mole-rat). RNAcentral describes it as "lncRNA (ENSFDAG00000026427.1)". Lineage: Eukaryota; Metazoa; Chordata; Mammalia; Rodentia; Bathyergidae. The record is from RNAcentral.